CUACGGGUUGCUCCAGUGAGGAAUAUUGCACAAUGGGGGGAACCCUGAUGCAGCAACGCCGCGUGGAGGAUGACGCAUUUCGGUGUGUAAACUCCUUUUAUAUGUCAAGAAAAUGACGGUAGCAUAUGAAUAAGCACCGGCUAACUCCGUGCCAGCAGCCGCGGUAAUACGGAGGGUGCAAGCGUUACUCGGAAUCACUGGGCGUAAAGGACGCGUAGGCGGGUUGGAAGGUCAGGUGUGAAAUCCUACAGCUUAACUGUAGAACUGCACUUGAAACUUCUAAUCUAGAGUAUGGGAGGGGGAGAUGGAAUUAGUGGUGUAGGGAUAAAAUCCGUAGAUAUCACUAGGAAUACCUAAAGCGAAGGCGAUCUCCUGGAACAUUACUGACGCUAAGGCGUGAAAGCGUGGGGAGCAAACAGGAUUAGAUACCCCGGUAGUC
This 439-nucleotide ribosomal RNA is filed under the name uncultured bacterium. RNAcentral's name for it is "partial 16S ribosomal RNA". It matches the Rfam family "Bacterial small subunit ribosomal RNA", at positions 339 to 795 of the family's 1533-position model. The record is from RNAcentral.